UACGAAGGGGGCUAGCGUUGCUCGGAAUCACUGGGCGUAAAGCGCACGCAGGCGGUUCUUUAAGUCCGGGGUGAAAUCCCAAGGCUCAACCUUGGAACUGCCUUUGAUACUGGGGAUCUCGAGUCCGGAAGAGGUGAGUGGAACUGCGAGUGUAGAGGUGAAAUUCGUAGAUAUUCGCAAGAACACCAGUGGCGAAGGCGGCUCACUGGUCCGGUACUGACGCUGAGGUGCGAAAGCGUGGGGAGCGAACAGG
Molecule: ribosomal RNA, 253 nt
Filed under: uncultured bacterium
Lineage: Bacteria
Description: partial 16S ribosomal RNA
Rfam family: Bacterial small subunit ribosomal RNA
Source: RNAcentral